UCUCUUCGGAGAUACUCGAGUGGCGAACGGGUGAGUAACACGUGGGUAAUCUGCCCUGCACUUCGGGAUAAGCCUGGGAAACUGGGUCUAAUACCGGAUAGGACCUCAAGGCGCAUGCCUUUGUGGUGGAAAGCUUUUGCGGUGUGGGAUGGGCCCGCGGCCUAUCAGCUUGUUGGUGGGGUGACGGCCUACCAAGGCGACGACGGGUAGCCGGCCUGAGAGGGUGUCCGGCCACACUGGGACUGAGAUACGGCCCAGACUCCUACGGGAGGCAGCAGUGGGGAAUAUUGCACAAUGGGCGCAAGCCUGAUGCAGCGACGCCGCGUGGGGGAUGACGGCCUUCGGGUUGUAAACCUCUUUCACCAUCGACGAAGGUUCGGGUUUUCUCGGAUUGACGGUAGGUGGAGAAGAAGCACCGGCCAACUACGUGCCAGCAGCCGCGGUAAUACGUAGGGUGCGAGCGUUGUCCGGAAUUACUGGGCGUAAAGAGCUCGUAGGUGGUUUGUCGCGUUGUUCGUGAAAUCUCACGGCUUAACUGUGAGCGUGCGGGCGAUACGGGCAGACUGGAGUACUGCAGGGGAGACUGGAAUUCCUGGUGUAGCGGUGGAAUGCGCAGAUAUCAGGAGGAACACCGGUGGCGAAGGCGGGUCUCUGGGCAGUAACUGACGCUGAGGAGCGAAAGCGUGGGGAGCGAACAGGAUUAGAUACCCUGGUAGUCCACGCCGUAAACGGUGGGUACUAGGUGUGGGUUUCCUUCCUUGGGAUCCGUGCCGUAGCUAACGCAUUAAGUACCCCGCCUGGGGAGUACGGCCGCAAGGCUAAAACUCAAAGGAAUUGACGGGGGCCCGCACAAGCGGCGGAGCAUGUGGAUUAAUUCGAUGCAACGCGAAGAACCUUACCUGGGUUUGACAUGCACAGGACGCGUCUAGAGAUAGGCGUUCCCUUGUGGCCUGUGUGCAGGUGGUGCAUGGCUGUCGUCAGCUCGUGUCGUGAGAUGUUGGGUUAAGUCCCGCAACGAGCGCAACCCUUAUCUUAUGUUGCCAGCGGGUAAUGCCGGGGACUCGUGAGAGACUGCCGGGGUCAACUCGGAGGAAGGUGGGGAUGACGUCAAGUCAUCAUGCCCCUUAUGUCCAGGGCUUCACACAUGCUACAAUGGCCGGUACAAAGGGCUGCGAUGCCGCAAGGUUAAGCGAAUCCUUUUAAAGCCGGUCUCAGUUCGGAUCGGGGUCUGCAACUCGACCCCGUGAAGUCGGAGUCGCUAGUAAUCGCAGAUCAGCAACGCUGCGGUGAAUACGUUCCCGGGCCUUGUACACACCGCCCGUCACGUCAUGAAAGUCGGUAACACCCGAAGCCAGUGGCCUAACCCUUGGGAGGGAGCUGUCGAAGGUGGGAU
Molecule: ribosomal RNA, 1393 nt
Filed under: Mycobacterium haemophilum
Lineage: Bacteria; Bacillati; Actinomycetota; Actinomycetes; Mycobacteriales; Mycobacteriaceae
Description: partial 16S ribosomal RNA
Rfam family: Bacterial small subunit ribosomal RNA
Source: RNAcentral